This 381-nucleotide ribosomal RNA is filed under the name uncultured eukaryote. RNAcentral's name for it is "partial 18S ribosomal RNA". It matches the Rfam family "Eukaryotic small subunit ribosomal RNA", at positions 592 to 976 of the family's 1831-position model. The record is from RNAcentral.
CAAUAGCGUAUAUUAAAGUUGUUGCGGUAAAAAAGCUCGUAGUUGGAUUUCUACCGAAGAUAGCCGGUCGGGUCUUCGACCUUGUAUCGGGUUUUGUCUUUGGUAUCCUCAUAGGGAACGUUUCUGCGCUUUAUUGCGUGGUGCGGUAUCUAUGACUUUUACUUUGAGGAAAUUAGAGUGUUCACGGCAGGCAAACGCCUUGAAUAUAUUAGCAUGGAAUAAUAACAUAGGAUCUUCGUCCUAUUUUGUUGGUUUCUAGGGCUAAGAUAAUGAUUAAUAGGGAUAAUUGGGGGCAUCUGUAUCAACGCGUCAGAGGUGGAAUUCUUGGAUUGCGUUGCGACAAACUACUGCGAAAGCAUUUGCCAAGGAUGUUUUCAUUGA